Girardinichthys multiradiatus is the source of this 4078-nucleotide long non-coding RNA. RefSeq lists it as uncharacterized. The transcript is spliced from 3 exons. The record is from RefSeq and is a predicted model, not a curated record. Lineage: Eukaryota; Metazoa; Chordata; Actinopteri; Cyprinodontiformes; Goodeidae.
GAGAUCUAGUUUAGCUGGGGGCGGUGGUGAAAUUGAGUUUAGGUCUUAGGUUGAUAGACUAUUUGUUUAUAGCAUUUAUUAUAGGUGUGGUUUUUAUUACAUGGAUGCAUGCACACAUGCGUGCAUAUGGGUGUGAAUGAAUUUAAGCCUGGCAGAGUCAAUAAGUAUAAGGGGUUCAUGGUAAAUUUUAUGACAGUGAUCACCAGCUGGAAAAAGAAGGGAUUUGUUUCAUUUUGACAAGCCUCAACUGCAUCUAUGAUGUUUCCUGCUGUACCUGCAGCGGUUCAUACAACCUUACUAAACACAACAAGCUGCAAAAGAACAAUAUGAUGCAAAGAUCUAACAUUAAACUCCAUAGUAACAUCUCAUUAAAAAAAUUGCCUGAUUUAUCAUUUUCCUAGGAAACUGCUAGAGGCCAGUGGCCAGCACGGUGCCAACCCAUCUGGAAGCUCACAACCACUCAGUGUUAGAUAAGGUUGUAAUAAGAUAUAGUCAAAGCCUGGCAACUAAUCUGAUAUUUCACCUCUGUGAGAGAUAGGAAAGAUAUAAAAACGUAUUAUGAGUGGGCACUAAGAGGAUUAGAGUAUGAAAACGGAUGUGUGCCGGCGUUUUAAUCCACUCAUGCUUAACCCUUUCAAGCUGCCCAAUCUGCUGCACACAAACAAUAAUUAUUUAGUUUUGCCUUUGAUGGAGCCAUUGCUCUUGUUACAGGCAGGCAACUCUCACCACACAUUCACACACACUUCAUUUACACUCCAGCCUCACAUUCAGCGUGUUUUUGUGAAGGAAAUGAGAACAGUGAACUGACAGAGCUCAGGUUUGAUUAAGAUUCUCUGUCCUGUGACGGCGCUGCUGACAACACUGCUCUGUUUCCUGUGAAUUACUCCUAAAUGAAGAUUAGUUAGUUUAGCAGCUGUGUGCGUGCUGGAUUUGUUGAGACUGAACUUGUUUAUGUUUGGUCACAGGCAUGCAAAUAUGUGUCUUAGUUUCACAAAUAAAUUUAUAAUGCUCUCAUUGCAAAAUUAAUCUCUUUGCAUGUUUUUAUCAAAAAGAAAGUAAACAACAGGGUUUUAUAUACAACAUGGGCAAGGUGGCCGGGGUGUUUUUUUCUGUAAACCGUUCACAUUUUUCUUUGUUGUUCUACAUUUCAGCUCACUGGCAGAAGAAAAAGGAGCAGAAGCUGAAGACAUUAGUUGAGAUCUAAAAUGUUUCCUGCAUAUUUAUUUUUUAUUGGCAUUAUUUUUGAUUUUGUAGAUGUUUAGAUCUUAAUGAUUUGCAACCUGCCACUCUGUGCAGCAAAGGUCCUAACAUCAGGGACCAAACCACGGAUGGCUUUGUCAAUAACUAACAGCCUUUGUAUAUGGGGUGGACGCUGUACCUCUGCACCAUGCGUUGCGCCAAUAUGGUCUAUAUUGACAUAUCCAUCAUAUCAUCCCUGCAUCACAGAGGCACUAUUUGAUUCAGAUCUGCCUACUAUGGAGGCUACUGGAUCUUUUUGCAUAUUUAAGUAACCAGUUUGAGAUGAUUUGAGCAUUGUGACAUGGUGCAUUAUCCCACUGGUGGUCAUAAACUGACAUUCCAUUGGUAUUGAGGGGCCCAAAGUGUGUCAAGAAAUAUCCUCUACACCAUGACAACACCACUACCAUCCUGGAAAACGAUCCAUGUGAGACACAGUCAUGCUUUCGUGUUUACACCAAAUUCUGACCCUACUGUCUGAAUGCCACGGAUGACACCGAGACUCACUGGACCAGGCAGUGCUUUUUAAAUCUAUAUUUGUCCGAUUUUGGUGAGCUCGACUUUUUGUAGCCUCAGUUUCCUAUCUAAAAUACUGCUGCUCACUGGAUAUUAUCUGGUUUUGGACCAUUCUUUGAAACUAAAAGAGAUAGCUAUGAGAUAAUCCCAGUAGAUCGACAUUUUCUGAAGUACUCAUAGGAUCCUCUCUCUCAGUAAACAACCAUUUCACAUUAAAAGUCAAUAAAAUCCCCAAUUUGAAGUGUGUAAAUGUUUCACCAGUGGAAUAUUUUACACAAACGAAUAUUUUUUUACGUAUUUGUAUUUUGUUUAACUGGUGUCCUUUUUCCCACUAUAAAUACAGGUCAGUGAACACAACUUCUGAAAUCUGUUGCUGCGCAUGCUCAAUUUGUACACACGUAGCAGGGUAUUUAAAAAAGACGAAUAUCUCCCCUACAUCAUUUUUAAAAUUAAGAUCGUACACACGUGAGGUUUUUCAGAAAAGUUUUCAUCCACACCAACCCGCAGAAAGACGCCACUGAGCGUUGUGUUAAACACUCCAGACACAUGGGAGCAGUGAGGGGAGGGGCGUUGCCAGGACAACAGACUCAACCAAUCACAGUAAGAGCUCCAGUUUGGUCUGCGUUUUUCGGUUGGCUCACCUCUCUGCCGUUUCCAAUGUCACAACAAGCCUAGGUACACUGUUUAAUAUGGUUGGAUAGAGGACAGACACAAAACAUGCCGGGAGGAAUCUUCUAAGAUCUAAUCGGCUGUCAAGAAGAGAUCUGGACAGGACAAGCUGAUAUCCUGGAGUGAGCCCACCUGUGGAAACAGAGAAGUAGCUCUACAGGGGAUCAGUUCUGUAAGAGAACAGAGUAGGGGGCAAUAACAUGGCGGAGACUUUCAGGAGGCAUUGGGAGCAGUCAAAAUGAAGUCAUCACUCUGGGAGAGACAGCUGUUUCACGGGAUAUGAGCAGUCCAGAACAGGAGUAGGCCCGUUCUGUCAUCCAGCUCUGCCCUGAAGGGUGGCACCCAGCAGCCCACCAAUCGCUGCUCGGUGUCGGGACAUGACCCUUUUGACAGCAAGCUCUGAGAAAGCGGUUGUACCUUACAGAAGGACAUGACCAUUAAUAAACUGAAGUCAGCGGUGGGUGGCGAAGGCAGGAAGAAAUAACAGGUGUCAAUCUUUAUUAAAUGCGAUCUGCCACCUUUCAGAUUUCUAAAUUACACCCCAAUUAAGAAGAAAAAUGAUGGCGAGGAUGCUCCCUGAAUUUGACAUCCUAAUUAAUUACUUCCUUUGUGUGAAGAAUUGACUUAUACUUCAUGUCACCUUGGAAUCCUUGGGCCUAAUCUGAAAUGCAAAAUUCACCCACAGAGCUAAAAUAAAAGUUUUCAAUGAAGACAGAACUCCUGACAAUUUCUAAUUUGGUGAGGUAAUGACAUCAUUAGCAUUUGCUCUCUUAUUCUGUAUAAUAACCCAAUAACUGGAUGGAGAAAAGCAUUCCUAAAUUACAUUGUUAAAUAACAGACUACACACUGGUUUCGAAUUAGCGUCAGAUUUGAUCGUGAGGCAAAAAAAACAAAACCCUCAUCAUUCACGAUGGCAGAACUCACCCAGGACAUAAUUGGCUUUACUGUGAAAUGGACUCGAGUUUUAUUAUCAAAUCAGUUGUGGUGCAUUAAAGCAGUGUCUUUCAUCCUGUCCUCUCAUUUGUUAUUUAGUUCCCUCUGGCCAUCCCUCCAGCAAUUCCAUCCCAAAUUGUAAGAGGCAAUUUCACUCUUACAGUCAGUCACAAGUUGGUUGCGAAUGGUUUACUGUGGGGGAAGAAUGUGAAGAAAAUAAAUUGGAGAAGAAAAUGGUUCUGUGACUGCUUUGCUCUUCUCAAAAUAAAUUUACAAAGGCACAAUUAUGACAUUCUUUACAGGCAACACAACAGAUUUUUGCAUAAAUUAGGCUUUUCCAAGUAAUUUGUGUCCCUGUGAGUAAGCGGGUGAUAGUUUGCAGCAUUGCAGAUGGCUUGAUGUGAAAGUGCUUGUGAUCAUGUCUGCAACAUGACAAGUGUGGGGCAACUCUGAGCAUCAUUAGAAGGCUUGGUUUUCUGUAUGUUUGUUAUUCAAAGUAUCUCAUGCUUGCUGGAAUUAUAUCAUUCCUAGUUCGUAGUCAGUUUGCAAUGUGAUGAACCUGUGAAGAACUAAUAGGGUGGUCCAGAAAUCCCUGAAUAUGUAAGGGACAGAUACAAAUGUAGCUUUGUAGCUUCCUGAAAUCAUGCUAUACAUUUUAACAUUUCAUCUCAUUUUAGUGGCUACUUCAAAUAAAUGUAAAAAAUAAAUUUAAAAUAAAUUUGUA